Non-coding RNA from Peromyscus maniculatus bairdii (prairie deer mouse), 387 nucleotides. Lineage: Eukaryota; Metazoa; Chordata; Mammalia; Rodentia; Cricetidae. The record is from RefSeq and is a predicted model, not a curated record.
GAAUUCCCUUCAUGAUAGACUAUAAGGUAUAUGAUGAAAACUUGCUUUUAUUCAUGGUGUCUGAUUACAAUAGAAAGCAAACUAAGACAUGUUACUCGUUCUGAUAUUAGAAAGCUCCGUUUCAAAGUCAAAACUUAUGAGAAGUAACAGUAAUUUCCUAUGACCUGAUAGGACCAAAGAGAGCCACCUGCCAGUUCCACGUUGUGAAAUCUCAAGAGCAGAAAGAAGCUGAAGAUUAACGUCACAGUCCUUGAUCAACGAUACCAAAAUUAAUGGGUCCAUCAGCAUGGCCUGUGGAGACACCCUCUUCAUUUAUAUUGCAUUUCUUCCAAGUCAUAAUUGGGCAUGUAAUCUGUGCAGUCUCUAAGUGCAUUCUGGGAAAGAAGC